AUUGAACGCUGGCGGCAUGCCUUACACAUGCAAGUCGAACGGUAACAAGUCUUCGGAUGCUGACGAGUGGCGAACGGGUGAGUAAUACAUCGGAACGUGCCUAGUAGUGGGGGAUAACUACUCGAAAGAGUGGCUAAUACCGCAUGAGAUCUACGGAUGAAAGCAGGGGAUCGCAAGACCUUGUGCUACUAGAGCGGCCGAUGGCAGAUUAGGUAGUUGGUGGGAUAAAAGCUUACCAAGCCGACGAUCUGUAGCUGGUCUGAGAGGACGAUCAGCCACACUGGGACUGAGACACGGCCCAGACUCCUACGGGAGGCAGCAGUGGGGAAUUUUGGACAAUGGGCGCAAGCCUGAUCCAGCAAUGCCGUGUGCAGGAUGAAGGCCUUCGGGUUGUAAACUGCUUUUGUACGGAACGAAAAGCCCCGGGUUAAUACCCUGGGGCCAUGACGGUACCGUAAGAAUAAGCACCGGCUAACUACGUGCCAGCCGCCGCCGUAA
RNAcentral lists this ribosomal RNA (498 nucleotides) under uncultured bacterium. RNAcentral's name for it is "partial 16S ribosomal RNA". It matches the Rfam family "Bacterial small subunit ribosomal RNA", at positions 30 to 523 of the family's 1533-position model. The record is from RNAcentral.